Molecule: long non-coding RNA, 2567 nt
Organism: Pteropus alecto (black flying fox)
Lineage: Eukaryota; Metazoa; Chordata; Mammalia; Chiroptera; Pteropodidae
Exons: 4
Source: RefSeq, a predicted model, not a curated record
GGCGGACCGACCUCCCUCCCCCAGCACCUGGGUUCGAGGAGCUUUGGUGUCAAGCUCUGGGAAAAGUCCCUCCGCUUUGCCCCGCCCCAGUUGUGUGGCCCGGGACAAGUCAGCCUGUGACCUGUUUCCUCACAAGAGGGACGGAAAGUGGCCUUCUGGCGCCCCCUGCCGGGCGAUCGCCUCGGCGAGGGCGGCAGGUGAGCCGCCCCAAACCACGCGAGGAGACUCCAAGGAACAGAAGCAUAAACCCAGCAAGACACCUUCAGGGGACGGGGAAGGCCAGAGUAGCUCUAGUGGAAAUCAGCUGUGCCCCCUCCCCGCCCCACACCGGUCAACUCUGGAGACUGAUAAGCCGUAUCCCCACCCAUAAAUAUAACUGUUCUCCGGCCAGCAGCCACACAUCUCCCAGUCCCCUGACCAAAACAACUAUUCACUGAGCACUCACUAGGUUCAAGGACCACCGGGAGGGCUAGCUGCGAGCACCGGUCCCCCAUCCCUUCCCCUCUCUUCGACCCUGGGCUGACUUCCUUUGCACAGGUCAGGAGUGGCAAGGACCCCUGGAGCAGUUGAGCAGCAGGCAGGCCCACGCUGGGGCAUGGCCAAGUGAGCGAGCAGGGUCCUCCCAGCUGGGGCGGGACCUCUGGUAGUUUCCUCAGAGAGGGGCUGGCAGGACUCAGGAUCUUCUUGCCUCUUCCCCACCUGGAGAUUCCCAAUUUCAAGUUCGCAGCAAAGAUGAGGUAAAACUUUACUUCAGGGAGGAAACUGCCAACCUGGCAGUUCCAUACAAGCCAGGGUCGUUUUCAGCGGACGCAAGACGCGGCCUGACCACCAGAGGGCAGCAGCGACCGCCUGUGGAAGCCUCAAGCGAGCCGGAGCUGGGAAGAGGCGGUAAAGGCCCACGGCAGGUAAAGACCCCCGCCCCCUGAGCCAGAAGGAUUCCAUCCAAAGGGGACAGGGGACACCCUCGGGCGGCAGGACGGUUACGUGAGGAUCAGGAGGGUUGAAUGGGCUCAUCAGCGGCAGAGCUGAAGGUAAACCUCAGGUCUGCUGUAAGUAUGGAAGAGGAGGCCUGUCAACUUUUACAAAGAGCCUUGCCCUGUCCCCCAACCCCCGGGAGAGGAAGACAGGUGCCAGGUGCAGUGAGGUGCACCCACGUUCCUCAAGCAAAGAACAAGAUGGACCAAACCCAGCUUAUCUGGUACUGGAGAGACCAACGCAUGGCAGCUGAGAGCCAAGGAGCCAAGACACCACCAGGGUAACUUUCAACCACACGGCUUCCCCAGCUCCCGGCAUGGAAGCCAGCAGACAGCUGGCAUGGGAGGGAGCCCAAAAUAACCCAGACAGCUGGGACCACGGGGUGCCAUGGACACAGGCGCUGGGCUCUAAGUCAAGACACCUGGAGCCCUGUCCUGGCUGCUGCCGGUGACCUUGUGACCUUGGGUGAAUCACGUAUACUCUCAGAGGGUGGGUGACCCCAAAUCCUGACUGAUCAAGGAACAGCCUGUGGAGCUGGGGGCGGGCCACCAUCCUGACUCAAUACAAGCGGAAGAAUGAUGCUGGCUCUCUUCCCAGGGGAGCUAGUCUUCCCCUUUGCCCUGAGGCUUUGCCACGUGCUCUGGGGUAGGUCUGUGGGGGAGGAGCUCGCAAGCAGCCCAGCCCCCACUCCCAGCAGCCACAUCGGAAAGGAUGCCAACAGUGUGAAGCCUGAAUGUGAGGCCGGCCCCUUUAAUCGCACUUAAUCUUCCCACCACCCUUUUCAGCAUGCAUCGUUAUCGUUUUACACAGGAGACUCGCCCAAGGUCACCAGCACAGUGCACAGUCAAGCCCAUGGCCACCCGACUUAGAGCCUCCCUUGAUUAAGCCCCAAGAUGCCCCCAACAGAAAUUUCAGAGUUGAGCCCUACAGCUCCCCCAGUCCUCAGUUUAACCUUCACACUAGGGGGCAGGAGAUAAAAGUGAGCAGGGCUGAUCUGCGGCCCAAAGCCCAAACGGGGGAAAGGCAGUGUGAUCAGUGGCACCUGGGCCCAAAUGGUUCAUCAAAGUCAUCACAUACUAAAGAACACAUGGGGGAAGGGUCAGAGAUCAAGGGCCGCACUGUCUCCAGCUGGGGAGCUUCCUGGAGUCAGGAUGGAAAAGUGAGCAGCUUGUUAGGAGCUGCCAGUAUUACGAAGCCACCUAUUCUGCCGAGCACCGAGCUCGCAUCCUCUUCACGACACCCCAGGUGUUACCUAGUCCAAAAGUUCUCAAAACGUGUCCCACAUGACAGGAGGAGUACCACCUGGGAAACUCGUCAGGCCCCACCUACCGAAUCAAACUGGAGGACUGGCCCGAAUCGGUUCCCAUGGGUGAUUUGGCUGCACGCUCCAGUCUGAGAAUCACUGACCGAGGGCCACGUAUGCGAUGGGCUCAGAGACUGUAGCGCGUACCAGGUGACUGCAGAAGAGGCUGGCCCGGAUGACAGGCCCUGUGUUUCACCUCCCUAGCAGCCAGACAUCGGAGUGGAAGAGGCCAGCUCAGUCACCCCAGACACCCUCACUGGGGACAGGAAGGGACGGCUCUGCUUGGGCC